AACGCACAUUGCGCCCAGUGGUAUUCCACUGGGCAUGCCUGUUCGAGCGUUAUUAAGUCCAAAUUAAGCACUGCUUAGCGUUGGAAAUCUGCGAAUAUAACUAUACCAUCAGUAAGACGCUUAGGCUUGCCGGCAUAGUUAACAGCAGUUUCUUAAAUAUAGUUGGCGGAUCUAUGGUAUCCUCUCAGCGUAGUAGCUUUUGUUCUCGCUAUUGUAGGUGCCUAGGACCCUGCCACAAAACCCCCAAAAUUUUCAGGAUUAACCUCGAAUCAGGUAGGAAUACCCGCUGAACUUAA
This 296-nucleotide unclassified non-coding RNA is filed under the name uncultured fungus. Its description in RNAcentral is "partial contains 5.8S ribosomal RNA, internal transcribed spacer 2, and large subunit ribosomal RNA". The stretch from base 1 to 52 matches the Rfam family "5.8S ribosomal RNA", at positions 103 to 154 of the family's 154-position model. Lineage: Eukaryota; Fungi. The record is from RNAcentral.